This 375-nucleotide long non-coding RNA is filed under the name Bos taurus (domestic cattle). RNAcentral's name for it is "long non-coding RNA NONBTAT020269". The record is from RNAcentral. Lineage: Eukaryota; Metazoa; Chordata; Mammalia; Artiodactyla; Bovidae.
CAGUCUUCUGAAAUAAAUUAUUUCCCAUGGUUUAAAUGAUUUGCUUAGGCCAUUUCUGUCCAUAUAUAACCAACCUGUACCUCUUAUCAGUGGUCUUACUAUCCAGAAUUAACUGAACUCAACAUUUGGAAGGAACCGAUUGUGGAAUAUGAAUUGUAUUGGCGAUAACCUUUCUAUACUUGGAAUGUCCCAAAACUAGGGACUCCUGAGGUUUGGGCACUUGUUAGCUCACUAUUCUAAUUUCUGAUGUGGUACGUGCUUUAUCAUAUUCCUUCACUUUAGUGUCUCUUACCUGCUAUGCUUUAACUGCUUCCUUUCACUGAAUUUUAUUAGUAUUUAAAUAUGCUCCAGGCUCUUCCAUCUAAAAGCAACUAU